ACGCAUCCUUGCAGAAUGUGGCUCCAACCCUUUAUCUACGUAAUUUGGAUAUGUGCCAUUGUUACUGUUGCUGAAGAUACAGAAACGAGCACUACUGAACCUGCAAGCACUAAUUCACCGGAGCAAUCUGAACCAGCGG
Molecule: long non-coding RNA, 139 nt
Organism: Papilio machaon (common yellow swallowtail)
Lineage: Eukaryota; Metazoa; Arthropoda; Insecta; Lepidoptera; Papilionidae
Exons: 4
Source: RefSeq, a predicted model, not a curated record